Long non-coding RNA from Herpailurus yagouaroundi (jaguarundi), 1493 nucleotides. RefSeq lists it as uncharacterized. NCBI's taxonomy places the organism in Eukaryota, Metazoa, Chordata, Mammalia, Carnivora, Felidae. The transcript has 2 exons. The record is from RefSeq and is a predicted model, not a curated record.
AAGUGGGACGCCUAACAGACUGAGCCACCCAGGCGCCCCAUAUUAUUUUCUAUAUUUAUAAACAACCUAACAUUCAUCCAGAGCUGUUAUCAGAAAGAUUGCCUCUGUUUUUUUCAAACCACAAAAAGUCUUGUUUUGUUAACCAGGCAAUAACAUUUUAAGUUUCAAACUGUAUUGUGAUGUAAUAUGCUCAAUUAAAACAAACAGCAUUUUGUAAAUAUAAGCCUUUAUGUCCUGUUUUUAUUAGUUUAUGUGUAGGAAUGGGCUAUGGAGCUUGAGAAUCACUAAUGCAGAGGUUCUAAACCAUAGCUGCAUUAUUAGAAUCGCUUGAGAAACUUAGAAAAAAUAGCAAUGCCAAAGCAUUGUCCCAGAUCAAUGACAUGAGAAACUUUCAUGGGGGGUGGGACCCAGGCAUCAGCAAAACUCCCCAGGCAAUUCCAACGUGCAGCCAUGAUACUAAAAAUACUGAGGUCGGAUCUCAGACAUGUAGCAAUCUGAUUUAAUUCGAAUCUGCAAAAAAGACCAAGAAAACUUUUUGUGUAAACAAAAGCAAACCCUGUUAUUACACAAAUCAAACUUUCUACUUUCAUCACUGGGGCUUGGGUUUGUAAGCACUUAAUCAUACCCACGCACUGACGUGAUGUGGAAGGUACAUCUGCCACCAGAUACAGGCAUAUAGACACCCGGUUAACUCAAGGUUCGGUGACAUCACAAAGGCUCUAAGAGCUGGGCAAGUCGGGAGAAGCUUCACGGAAUGGGCAGUAGGAGCUGAGCCUUGGGGAAGAUGUCCAGGACCCGGCCAGCACAAGAAGUGCUACAGGCGACAGUGAACCAGGAACACAGCCCAGCACGUGGGGCAGACGGUCCGCUCGACGGACAAUAGGUUCUUUGAAGAAAUGGAGAAGUCUUCGGAAGACAAGUUGGGAUUUAAUUGUAGAAAGCUUCAGGGUGCCUGCGAGAAACCUUGCACUUGACGCUGUGCGCCUGGUACUGAACACCCCUGAGCAGGAGAGGCCCAGGACGGGCUAGGCGAGGAGCCUGGACACACUCAAGGCUCUGCAAUGUGAGGGGCUGCCGUGGAACGCGUAGAGAAGUCGGGCCAAGUACAAGCAUGCUCUGCUCUGAGCUAAAACACACUGGAAAUGAACGCAUCGUCACAAAUGAAAAUUCUCCCAUCUUGGAUUUUAUUUUUCACAACACUUGAAGAUCCCAUUUUCAAAAUAUGAACAAUAAAGACCCCCCCGCUCCCCACGGGACUUCUCAUUUCACUGCAAAUACAUUCUUUCGGUUUUAGCAACCUUUCACAUAUGCUGCUUUCCACGUCAUUAGAGAAACUUUUCAUUUUAUCCCAUAUAUAUAAAUGUAUAUAAUGGCAUAUAUAAUUGCCAUUAUUUGAAAAACAAAAUUUAUAUUUACAUGUCGAGAGCAAUUUUGUAUAAAUAUACAAAAUACAACAAAUUUGAAGCAGAAACUAGUAUAAAAGUCUGUUUUGG